CCUACGGGAGACUGCAGUGGGGAAUAUUGCACAAUGGGGGAAACUCUGAUGCAGCGACGCCGCGUGAGUGAAGAAGUAAUUCGUUAUGUAAAGCUCUAUCAGCAGGGAAGAAAAUUACGGUACCUGAGUAAGCAGCCCCGGCUAACUACGUGCCAGUAGCCGCGGUCUUACGUAGGGGGCAAGCGUUAUCCGGAUUUACUGGGGGUAACGGGAGCGUAGACGGCAGUGCAAGUCUGUAGUGAAAGGCGGGGGCUUAACCCCCGGACUGCUCUGGAAACUGUACGGCUGGAGUGCAGGAGAGGUAAGUGGAAUUCCUAGUGUAGCGGUGAAAUGCGUAGAUAUUAGGAGGAACACCAGUGGCGAAGGCGGCUUACUGGACUGUAACUGACGUUGAGGCUCGAAAGCGUGGGGAGCAAACAGGAUUAGAUACCCGAGUAGUC
This 440-nucleotide ribosomal RNA is filed under the name uncultured bacterium. RNAcentral's name for it is "partial 16S ribosomal RNA". It matches the Rfam family "Bacterial small subunit ribosomal RNA", at positions 338 to 795 of the family's 1533-position model. The record is from RNAcentral.